GCUCACAUGCCACCAAACUCAGCAUCACUGUACUCUCAGUGGGACUGAAGGGACAGAAGGGGCAGGGCAGGGCAGGGGCCUCCCUAGCUACAGCACUGCCGUUCUUCCCAAUUUGGAGAUGGAUGAAGAUCUGCCAGCUCUCUGGCUGACUCCCUCUGCCACAGCAGGCAAGAAGCAGGGAGGGAAACCUCUGAUGAGGACGCUACAGGGCUAGAACCUAUUAUAGCACCACCCUGUGCAGGUCUAAUGUCUCACAUGAACCUACAGGCAACUCUCAGGCAAGAGCCAUAAGCAGGGAGGUGCCAGUUUCUACCAGUGGACAAAACAUACUUCCAAGUGACCGCGAAAAUGCAUGGAGCUUGCCUGGAUACAGCCAUACUGAUUCACUGCAGAGGCUUAUAGAAACUAAGCAGAGAAAUAAAAAAUAAA
Phalacrocorax carbo (great cormorant) is the source of this 429-nucleotide non-coding RNA. NCBI's taxonomy places the organism in Eukaryota, Metazoa, Chordata, Aves, Suliformes, Phalacrocoracidae. The record is from RefSeq and is a predicted model, not a curated record.